This 18-nucleotide transfer RNA is filed under the name Phrynocephalus helioscopus (sunwatcher toadhead agama). Its description in RNAcentral is "partial tRNA-Tyr". The record is from RNAcentral. Lineage: Eukaryota; Metazoa; Chordata; Lepidosauria; Squamata; Agamidae.
UGUGAGCUCCUCUUAUCA